This is a long non-coding RNA of Herpailurus yagouaroundi (jaguarundi), 5694 nucleotides long. RefSeq lists it as uncharacterized. The transcript has 3 exons. The record is from RefSeq and is a predicted model, not a curated record. NCBI's taxonomy places the organism in Eukaryota, Metazoa, Chordata, Mammalia, Carnivora, Felidae.
CCCCCUUUUACCCCUUUCCCACUUGCACUUGAGCUCGCUCGCUCUCUCUCUGAAAAUAAAUAAAUAAACUUAAAAAAAAUUUUUCUCUUACAAUCCCAUUUUAGGUCACAUUUUCCUUAAUACCCCUUUUGGUUUUGUUUUGUUUUUUUUAACAUGAAAGAUGAAUUAUUGUAAGUUUUUAUUGGUUCCUUGUUGCCUUAUAUGGGUAAAAGGGUGUGUGUGCAAGGUUAGCUCUGAAGUUUCUGAUAACUUUAAUAUCCUAUGAUUUUAUGUUUUUAGACUCUUUUUUCAGUAAGUUCUAUGCCCACCAUGGGGCUCGUACUCACGACCCUGAGAUAAGGAGUCUUGUGCUCCACUGACUGGGCCAGCCAGGUAUCCCUAUGAUUUUUUUAGACUUAAACUUUCUAAGUCAGGUAUUUUGUGGGCGGGGGAGACUGGGGUUUUCUUUGUUGAGCUUGUCACCCAGAUGUGCUUUAGGUAUGAGCUUUCUAGCCAGUUGAACUCUGUUUUACUUUUUUAAGAAGUUUAAUAUGGCUCCAGUCAGAUGAGACCAGCCUGUGUGGUCGUCUCCUAGAAGCAUCAUGAAGGCGCCGAGCAUUUUGAAGGUUUCUGCGUCUCCUCAUGAAGAUGUCGCACUCCCAUGACAAAGCAGUCCCCUGGGACCGUCCUUCUACCAGACCCGUCCCAUUGGCCUGGCCUCACCCCUGCUGCUCAGCGUCAGGAGAUGCCACUUCCCCAGUCGGCCGGCCCACUUCUGACUUGGCCUUCGAUGCCCUCUGGUGCCCGGCCUUCACGUGGACAUCGUAGGACGGUUUGUUCUCCAGCUGAGGGAGAACUAUCCGAGAACACUUACUUGCCCCCCUCAUCUCAUCUCCACAGCCCCCAACACUCCCCAGAGGCCCUAGCGAACAGCCCGGCUGUAAUGAAUUGAUGGCAGCCGCCCCUUGUAUUUCCUGGAAAUUUUUUAAUUCUCAGGAGAAGGUAGGCUUUAUAUUUUAAAAUCGAUGUGGUUGGCCACAUAUUUAAAACCGAGAUUUAAAAAAAAAAAAAAAAUCACUUACUGGUAUGAACUUCAGAAAAGCUUGUUUCACAGAAAGAGAUUUUCCACAUUCCACACCACUACAAAGAUAACCCAGAUAUCCUGGGCCAGCGACUCCCAUGGGGCCGGGCACGGGGAGCCACCCCUGUCAGAGGCCCAACAGGCCACGGGCAGUAUCUCCCUGUGGCUUUUCACAAUUCCCACCUAUUCGUAGAUACCCUCUCUCCAGUGACCUGCCCCCUUCAUUGUUUUUAACCUCUGCUCCAUUACUUUGGAAAAAUUUGUCUUUUUUUCCCUUCGCUUCUUCACGCUCCUCCCCUCUCCAGCUCCGUGUUCCAAAUUGAACCUAAUUAUGGAUAAGUGUUCAGAUUAGGGGUUAUGAUAAAUCUGGAAAGGUAAAGUCAUACAUUUUGACCUGAAACUCUAUCCAAUGAAGAACCAGUGCCAACAGCCUCCCAAGCCCUUGAAAAAUCCCCUUUGUUUUAUCUGCCAGAGAAUUCAUUUUUCUUCCUCUAAUUGGUCCUGCUUUUCUCCUACCAGCAGCCAAAUUAAAAAAAAAAAAAAUCUUGAAAGUUAAAUUAUCAGCAGUCUAACCUUCUGAUUUUUUCACAGAUAAACAAGGAGUCCAUUCAAAGUGGUCCUAGAACUAUUUGAAAAUUACCUGUUUAUAGUCGCGUUUUGGUCUCUUCCGCUCUGCCCUUCCUUCAAUCUGAGUACAUUCCAUUGCGCGUGUUACGUGCAGUUUGUUAUAGGCCGGACCAGAGACAUGAUGAGACAGUCUCUCUUUGCAGGUUACGUUUGUGUGUGGGUGUUGUUUGCUUGCAUGUGUUUGUGUGUGUCCACGUGCCCCUCACACCUUCCCUGACAUCCUAACUUUCUGUGGCAUUCUGCUUUUGUGCUUUAUGCCCUGGUGAGGGUUUUCAAAACCAGUAGUUGUAGGUGAUUAAGAAAGAGGAAGGAAUGAAAAUCAAGGAGACAACAGUAAUUGGAGCGGUGGUUACAUUUUCGUGGAAGCCUCUGGUUUGUCCUAAAUUCUCGUAUCCGGAGCCUUAUGCUAACCACUUUAGAUACAAGAUAGUCCUUGAGGCAUUAUGGACAAUCCUGCUUUUCCUUUACUGUCACAGUACUGGUUCCGUUACCAGCCUGGACUCCGGGGGUGGGGUUGGGAUGGUGCUGGGGACCUCUUGAUGGCUUUGGUCCGUCCAUGUCCGCAUGCUGGACUCCCCUCACUCAUCCUCAGUCCCCGUGUGCCUGGAAACCAGUAACGAAAGCAGCCAGAACCGUGUCUAAACCAGAAGGGCUUCUCCUGAUCAACAAAAAGGUGUGAAGUUUGGGCACGGACAGUUUUAGCUUCUCCGGAGACCUCUUUCUGUUCCGCUGGUUGAGGACAGCAUCUCAGGGGGCCGAGUAUCUCCGGCUGUACAGUGCCGUCCUGGUGAGAUAAAGUAUUUUCGCACACGCCGUCCCCUCGCCUCAGCCCUCCCCUGAGAUGCACGGGCCUCCCGGCAACCACCCCGUGCCCCUUCUCCUUGCCCUGUGCCCGGAUGCUCCUCUCACAGAACUGGUCCACGGACUCCUCUGCAGGUCGACCAGAAGUCCCCCUUGUCCAGGCUAAGUCCCAGUUAACGCCUGUUGCGGGUCAGUGCACGCCUAUUAUUUUCAUUUUCAAAAAUGCCAUUUGCAAGAUAAAUGUUACCUUGAUCCUACUUUUCAUCCUUUCAGGCUUCUUCAGCCCUGAUGUCACCUCCUCAGGUAGACCCUUCCGCACCUGGUAGGCUUCCUUUCUCCGAAGCUGGACAGGAUCCUUUGUUUGCCCUGCUUGCUGACUGGCCCCCAGGGCUUGGUCAGGCUGAGCCAGGGGUUUGUGAGAAGCAGAUACAUUUAGGCUUCUUUCAGCCUCGGGACCCAUGCAGGGCCAGGCUGGGAAGAAGUGAGAGAGGAGGCACUAGGUGCAGGAGAAGGUGAGGUGCAGGGGAGGGAUGUGCAAGGAGAAGGGAAGGUGAAGCGGAGGAAUGCAGGGGAGAGUGAGGUCCAGGGGGGAGCAAGGAAGGACAGAACGUGGGCGCGUGCUGCGGGCCAGGAUUUAUGGGAAGCUUCACUAAUGUGAUUGUGCCCCCUCGAGAAAUUUUAAUGUCCUCUACCACUCAAGGCUGUAAGAGUCGAUGUGAGGGUUUCUGAUUUGAGGCCGUGUGCGGUCAGCUUGAAGGGACUGAUACCGCAAGAGACGUCUGAUGAGGCUUGAUUAUAAGUGGAUUACGUGAAAUAAACAAACUCCAUUUUUUUCUAGGUGAUUGUUUUUCUGGGAGUAUUAGACAAAACAGGGGAUUCAGAGGCACACGUUCAGGCUCGUCUCUUCUUUUCUGACCUUGAUGGGUUUUUCAUGUGCGUAAAGGGCUUGAGCUCCAUCUACGAUGUCCCUUCCACCUUUUAGAACUGUAUGAUUUCGUCAUACAUGGCGGCCAGACUAGAAAGCAUUUUGAAGUUCUACAGAGUACUAUUUUUUUUUUUUUUCCAAUCGCAGGCCAGAAAGGAAAACUUCCAAAUAAGGAUGCGUAAGAUACUCAGACAAAGGGAAACAAUAACUAAAAUACAAGUCUAGCCUUUGCCCUGGCAUGAAAAGAAUGCAGACUGGUAACUGACCUAAAGGUUUCUGUUUCAUUUCAUAUUUAGGUGAAAUGGUCAGCCUUGACCAUUAUUCCCAAAAAAAUGUCUCUUCAGACUUUUAAAAUAUUUGUGUAAUAUUGAGGCGAUUGUAUUAUCCUUGACAACACUGAGGUCGCUUUUACCUGUAAAAAAUGCCGUGCCUAAUCGUGUAUGUACCAGGAGCAGUGCUUGAAAAGCUAAAUUUAGCAAAAUUAAUCCGGGCUCACAAAUGAUCACGGUAGACCUUCAAUGAACACCCCUACCUAAUAUCAUGACAAACAUUGUGAGGUCGCCUCCCGGUGGCUUAGCCAUCUAACGUGGAGGAAUGUUUCAGCAAGGAGAGUAAUUUGAUUUCAUCAAAUAGUAAGCACACGGGCCAUUCAGACUGUAGUUGUCAGGGUUAUACCCAAGGAUGAGAAACGUCUGACCAGUGAAUGAACACAGCUGAGUGUGAAGUGACACUGAGUAUGUCAUAUGUCUUUGUAAAAUGGACAGUCCAGAGGACACACGUUGGCCAACCUCAUUGGUCUUCUGCAGCGUCUCAAAAUUUUUUGAGUAAGAAUAUUUUCAUGGGGCCUUUGAGUAAGAAUAUUUUUCAGGGGGUCUGCCUUUCACAGACGUUUACUUACCUCUCCGGCUCCCCAGGCAGUUGAAUUGUUGACCUUUGGCCUUUGAUUAAAAAAAAAAAAACACAUCUAAUUACUAAAAUAGUAAAAACUAAAUAGUCUUGGUUGCUCACUGGGAAAUCCACCUGGAGACAGAGAUUUGCGUGUAGAAAGUUUGUGGAGGGCACCCGUGGAAACAAUAUCUAGGGUUGGGGGGUGAAGGAAACAGGUUCUAGCAGAGAGAGAAGGUGAAAUGUGACAGGACCAUCACCGUUGUCUCAGUCCCCAGGGCCUGGAGCUAGGAUGGUCCUCCAGGGUCAUCCCAAAUUGAGACCACGUGGUCAGACCUUUGUGCCUUCUUCCCAUCAGCCAUGGGAAGGUUUCAGGGGAGAAUCUGUUUCCUUGCUUUUUCUAGCGGUCUUUCAUUUCCUUUAUGAAUUCUGCCCCAACGGGGACAUUGUGAUAGCCUGAAAGCCAAAAAAAAACCCCAAAAAACAAAACAACCCAAAAAACAAAAAAAACAAAAACAUUCACUCACUAGUUUCUUCCUUAAAAAGUUCACUCUCAGGGAGUUGGCUCCAGCGCUGACCACAGGUUCUGCCUGCACACGGACAGGCCUGACUCACUCCCGUCCACUCCUUCCUGCCGCCCUCGCCCUCGUCAGGGCCUGUUUCCCCGUGACAUCUAGCCAGCGCCCCACGAGCACCUGCUUUGUGCCUGUGGCUAGGGGGGAGGCCAGGUCACUGCUUGCCCUGCAGAGUGGAGGGUGAGUGGGGCCUCAUGGUAGAAUUAAAAAAAUAUACAUCCGCUCCCUGGUUCCAGGCACAGAGCUCCUAAAACCCUUGGAAUUUUUGAGAGGAGCAUCUUUUGUUAUUCAUAAUAAGCCCCUUUCAACCGCACUCCAGUUUAUGCUAAUUGUGGUGACUCUUGGAGGAUGGGGCUGGUUGCCCGAGGAACCAACCACGUGAUGAGAGGGCUGGAACCUUCAGCCCCACCCCCCACCACUGGGGAGGGAAGAGGGGUUUGGACAUUAAGUUUAACCACCAGUGGCGAGUGAACUGAUCAGUCGUGCCUACCUAAUGGCACCGCAGUAAAAAUUCUAAACAGUGGGUUUUGGAGAGCUUCCAGGCUGCUGAGCACGCCAAGGUUAUGGGAAGGUAGCACACCCGAAGAGGGCGGGCAAGCUCCAUGCUCACCCCACGCCUUUCCCUCUGCAUCUUGCAUCUGGCUGUUCCUGAGUUGUGUCCUUUGCAAUAAACUGGUGAUCUAAUCUUCCUGAGCGUGGAUGGGAGACUUUCUAAAGGCGUGUUUACCACACUGGCCUUGUGGAAGGAGCUUUCUCUGGGCCUCAGCAGGACAGAGAGAGAGACAGAGCAUGAACGGGGGAGGGGCAGAGAGAGAGGGAGA